CCUACGGGAGGCAGCAGUGGGGAAUAUUGGACAAUGGGCGCAAGCCUGAUCCAGCCAUACCGCGUGGGUGAAGAAGGCCUUCGGGUUGUAAAGCCCUUUUGUUGGGAAAGAAAUCCAGCCGGCUAAUACCUGGUUGGGAUGACGGUACCCAAAGAAUAAGCACCGGCUAACUUCGUGCCAGCAGCCGCGGUAAU
This 194-nucleotide ribosomal RNA is filed under the name uncultured bacterium. Its description in RNAcentral is "partial 16S ribosomal RNA". It matches the Rfam family "Bacterial small subunit ribosomal RNA", at positions 338 to 524 of the family's 1533-position model. The record is from RNAcentral.